This 492-nucleotide ribosomal RNA is filed under the name uncultured bacterium. Its description in RNAcentral is "partial 16S ribosomal RNA". It matches the Rfam family "Bacterial small subunit ribosomal RNA", at positions 28 to 507 of the family's 1533-position model. The record is from RNAcentral.
GACGAACGCUGGCGGCGUGCUUAACACAUGCAAGUCGAACGGUGAAGCGCCUUCCUUUUUGGUGGGUGUGGAUGAGUGGCGAACGGGUGAGUAACACGUGAGUAACCUGCCCCCUUCUUCUGGAUAACCGCAUGAAAGUGUGGCUAAUACGGGAUAUUCUGGGUCUGUCGCAUGAUGGGUCUGGGAAAGAUAUUGUUUCGGUGGGGGAUGGGCUCGCGGCCUAUCAGCUUGUUGGUGGGGUGAUGGCCUACCAAGGCGGUGACGGGUAGCCGGCCUGAGAGGGUGGACGGUCACACUGGGACUGAGACACGGCCCAGACUCCUACGGGAGGCAGCAGUGGGGAAUAUUGCACAAUGGGCGCAAGCCUGAUGCAGCGACGCCGCGUGAGGGAUGGAGGCCUUCGGGUUGUGAACCUCUCGCCAGUGAAGCAGGCCUGCCUCGUUUGUGGGUGGGUUGACGGUAGCUGGAUAAGAAGCGCCGGCUAACUACGUG